UACGGAGGGUGCAAACGUUGCUCGGAAUUAUUGGGCGUAAAGCGCACGUAGGCGGUUCGCUAUGUCGGAUGUGAAAGCCCUCGGCUUAACCGAGGAAGGGCAUCCGAAACUGGCGGGCUUGAGUACGGAAGAGGGUCUCGGAAUUCCCGGUGUAGAGGUGAAAUUCGUAGAUAUCGGGAGGAACACCAGUGGCGAAGGCGGAGACCUGGGCCGAUACUGACGCUGAGGUGCGAAAGCGUGGGGAGCAAACAGG
RNAcentral lists this ribosomal RNA (253 nucleotides) under uncultured bacterium. RNAcentral describes it as "partial 16S ribosomal RNA". It matches the Rfam family "Bacterial small subunit ribosomal RNA", at positions 524 to 776 of the family's 1533-position model. The record is from RNAcentral.